ACGCACGCUGGCGGCGUGCUUAACACCUGCCAGUCGCACGGAAAGGCCCUGCUUUUGUGGGGUGCUCGAGUGGCGAACGGGUGAGUAACACGUGAGUAACCUGCCCUUGACUUUGGGAUAACUUCAGGAAACUGGGGCUAAUACCGGAUAGGAGCUCCUGCUGCAUGGUGGGGGUUGGAAAGUUUCGGCGGUUGGGGAUGGACUCGCGGCUUAUCAGCUUGUUGGUGGGGUAGUGGCUUACCAAGGCUUUGACGGGUAGCCGGCCUGAGAGGGUGACCGGCCACAUUGGGACUGAGAUACGGCCCAGACUCCUACGGGAGGCAGCAGUGGGGAAUAUUGCACAAUGGGCGGAAGCCUGAUGCAGCAACGCCGCGUGCGGGAUGACGGCCUUCGGGUUGUAACCCGCUUUCGCCUGUGACGAAGCGUGAGUGACGGUAAUGGGUAAAGAAGCACCGGCUAACUACGUG
RNAcentral lists this ribosomal RNA (467 nucleotides) under uncultured bacterium. RNAcentral describes it as "partial 16S ribosomal RNA". It matches the Rfam family "Bacterial small subunit ribosomal RNA", at positions 29 to 507 of the family's 1533-position model. The record is from RNAcentral.